RNAcentral lists this ribosomal RNA (424 nucleotides) under uncultured Porphyromonadaceae bacterium. RNAcentral describes it as "bacterial SSU rRNA". It matches the Rfam family "Bacterial small subunit ribosomal RNA", at positions 355 to 776 of the family's 1533-position model. Lineage: Bacteria; Pseudomonadati; Bacteroidota; Bacteroidia; Bacteroidales; Porphyromonadaceae. The record is from RNAcentral.
UGAGGAAUAUUGGUCAAUGGGCGGGAGCCUGAACCAGCCAAGUCGCGUGAGGGAAGACGGUCCUAUGGAUUGUAAACCUCUUUUGUCGGGGAGCAAAGAGGCCACGUGUGGUCAAAAGCGAGAGUACCCGAAGAAAAAGCAUCGGCUAACUCCGUGCCAGCAGCCGCGGUAAUACGGAGGAUGCGAGCGUUAUCCGGAUUUAUUGGGUUUAAAGGGUGCGUAGGCGGGACGGUAAGUCAGCGGUAAAAAUGCGGAGCUCAACUCCGUCGAGCCGUUGAAACUGCCGUUCUUGAGUGAGCGAGAAGUAUGCGGAAUGCGUGGUGUAGCGGUGAAAUGCAUAGAUAUCACGCAGAACUCCGAUUGCGAAGGCAGCAUACCGGCGCUCAACUGACGCUGAAGCACGAAGGCGUGGGUAUCGAACAGG